UAUGGUGGAUAGUCGCGGUCUCUGCGCAGCAGGGGUCGAGGAAAUUCGAGACACGCCCAGGGCUGCUUUGGCGGAACUGGAGUAUGGUGCCUGGUGCAAGCCAGGGCAGGGCGACCUGACGACGGCAAACGUGUCUUCUUCGGAAGAUGCCAGUAGCUCUAAAGUGCCACAGAAACAAUGUUCUCCGGCGACGGAGAAGUGCAAGGGUAAACUCCACUAGCGUGCAACCCAAAUAGGCGGCCUUGAGCCGCGGGUAGGGGCACUCGCUUCGGCGGGAAGGAAGCCAGGCCGUAAGGCGCAACUUCCUUAGACAAAUGACUAUCCAUCGGCGACAGCCGGGGACAGAAUCUCGAUUACAGCC
This 361-nucleotide RNase P RNA is filed under the name Heliobacterium mobile. RNAcentral's name for it is "Heliobacillus mobilis Bacterial RNase P class B". It matches the Rfam family "Bacterial RNase P class B". Rfam says of the family: Ribonuclease P (RNase P) is a ubiquitous endoribonuclease, found in archaea, bacteria and eukarya as well as chloroplasts and mitochondria. Its best characterised activity is the generation of mature 5'-ends of tRNAs by cleaving the 5'-leader elements of precursor-tRNAs. Cellular RNase Ps are ribonucleoproteins. Lineage: Bacteria; Bacillati; Bacillota; Clostridia; Eubacteriales; Heliobacteriaceae. The record is from Rfam by way of RNAcentral.